This is an RNA transcript of Camelus dromedarius (Arabian camel), 1357 nucleotides long. It is a transcript of the gene named replication factor C subunit 3, with no coding region annotated. The record is from RefSeq and is a predicted model, not a curated record. The transcript is spliced from 10 exons. NCBI's taxonomy places the organism in Eukaryota, Metazoa, Chordata, Mammalia, Artiodactyla, Camelidae.
GCCGCGGGAAAACUGGUCUCUGCUUCGGGCCGGAGGACGCGCGCGCGCUCGCGGGUCGUUCAAGUGUCGGACCUUGUGAACAGGGCUGGCAUGAGCCUCUGGGUGGACAAAUAUCGGCCCUGCUCCUUGGGACAGCUUGAUUAUCACAAGGAGCAGGCGGCUCAGCUGCGCAACCUGGUGCAAUGUGGUGACUUUCCUCAUCUGCUAGUGUAUGGACCAUCAGGUGCUGGAAAAAAGACAAGAAUUAUGUGUAUUCUACGUGAACUUUAUGGUGUUGGCGUGGAAAAGUUGAGAAUUGAGCAUCAGACCAUCACAACUCCAUCUAAAAAGAAAAUUGAAAUUAGCACUAUUGCAAGCAAUUACCAUCUUGAAGUUAAUCCCAGUGAUGCUGGAAAUAGUGACCGGGUGGUAAUUCAGGAGAUGUUGAAAACAGUGGCACAAUCACAGCAACUCGAAACAAACUCUCAAAAAGAUUUUAAAGUGGUGUUACUGACGGAGGUUGACAAACUCACUAAAGAUGCCCAACAUGCCUUGCGCAGAACCAUGGAAAAGUAUAUGUCCACCUGCAGAUUGAUCUUGUGCUGCAAUUCUACAUCCAAAGUGAUACCACCUAUUCGUAGUAGGUGCCUGGCAGUUCGUGUGCCUGCUCCCAGCAUUGAAGAUAUUUGCCAUGUGUUAUCUACUGUGUGUAAGAAGGAAGGUCUGAAUCUUCCUUCACAGCUGGCUCGUAGACUUGCAGAGAAGUCCUGCAGAAAUCUCAGAAAAGCCCUGCUUAUGUGUGAAGCCUGCAGAGUGCAACAAUAUCCUUUUACUGAAGAUCAAGAAAUCCCUGAAACAGAUUGGGAGGUGUAUCUGAGGGAGACUGCCAAUGCUAUUGUCAGUCAGCAGACUCCACAAAGGCUCCUUGAAGUUCGUGGAAGACUCUAUGAGCUUCUAACUCAUUGUAUUCCUCCUGAAAUAAUAAUGAAGGGCCUUCUUUCAGAACUUUUGCAUAAUUGUGAUGGACAGCUGAAAGGGGAAGUGGCCCAAAUGGCAGCUUACUAUGAACAUCGUCUACAACUGGGUAGCAAAGCCAUUUAUCACUUGGAAGCAUUUGUGGCCAAAUUUAUGGCACUUUAUAAGAAGUUCAUGGAGGAUGGAUUGGACGGCAUGAUAUUCUGACAUCUAUCAGUAAUUCUUCCUAAUAUUUCUCAGUAUCAGCAUUUACAUUCAGUUUAUAUUGGAAGAGCUGCAGAUUCUUGUGGGGACGACUUUUAGGCUACCUGCCACUAGACCCAGGAGGAAACUCAAAAGAGCAGAGACUGGUAGAGUGUGGUCUCAUGAAAAUUCUCCCGAGCAGACCGCCACAACUCUUGCU